GUGGGGAAUCUUAGACAAUGGGCGCAAGCCUGAUCUAGCCAUGCCGCGUGAUCGAUGAAGGCCUUAGGGUUGUAAAGAUCUUUCAGUGGGGAAGAUAAUGACUGUACCCACAGAAGAAGCCCCGGCUAACUCCGUGCCAGCAGCCGCGGUAAUACGGAGGGGGCUAGCGUUGUUCGGAAUUACUGGGCGUAAAGCGGACGUAGGCGGAACAGAAAGUCAGAGGUGAAAUCCCAGGGCUCAACCUUGGAACUGCCUUUGAAACUCCUGUUCUUGAGUUCGAGAGAGGUGAGUGGAAUUCCGAGUGUAGAGGUGAAAUUCGUAGAUAUUCGGAGGAACACCAGUGGCGAAGGCGGCUCACUGGCUCGAUACUGACGCUGAGGUGCGAAAGCGUGGGGAGCAAACAGGAUUAGAAACCCCUGUAGUCC
Molecule: ribosomal RNA, 425 nt
Filed under: uncultured bacterium
Lineage: Bacteria
Description: partial 16S ribosomal RNA
Rfam family: Bacterial small subunit ribosomal RNA
Source: RNAcentral